GUUAGAGUGGAGGGGUGGCAGGUAGCCUAGUGGUUAGAGUGGAGGGGCGGCAGGUAGCCUAGUGGUUAGAGGUGGAGGGGUGGCAGGUAGCCUAGUGGUUAGAGUGGAGGGGCGGCAGGUAGCCUAGUGGUUAGAGUGGAGGGGCGGCAGGUAGCCUAGUGGUUAGAGUGUAGAGGCGGCAGGUAGCCUAGUGGUUAGAGUGGAGGGGAGGCAGGUAGCCUAGUGGUUAGAGUGUAGAGGCGGCAGGUAGCCUAGUGGUUAGAGUGGAGAGGCGGCAGGUAGCCUAGUGGUUAGAGUGGAGGGGCGGCAGGUAGCCUAGUGGUUAGAGUGGAGGGACGGCAGGAAGCCUAGUGGUUAGAGUGUAGAGGCGGCAGGUAGCCUAGUGGUUAGAGUGGAGAGGCGGCAGGUAGCCUAGUGGUUAGAGUGGAGGGACGGCAGGUAGCCUAGUGGUUAGAGUGUAGAGGUGGCAGGUAGCCUAGUGGUUAGAGUGUAGAGGUGGCAGGUAGUCUAGUGGUUAGAGUGUAGAGGCGGCAGGUAGUCUAGUGGUUCGAGUGUAGAGGCGGCAGGUAGCCAAAUGGUUAGAGUGUUGAGCCAGUACUUGAAAGGUUGCUGGAUCGAAUCCCC
Molecule: long non-coding RNA, 624 nt
Filed under: Salmo salar (Atlantic salmon)
Lineage: Eukaryota; Metazoa; Chordata; Actinopteri; Salmoniformes; Salmonidae
Description: lncRNA (ENSSSAG00000087414.1)
Source: RNAcentral